Molecule: unclassified non-coding RNA, 320 nt
Filed under: uncultured Aspergillus
Lineage: Eukaryota; Fungi; Ascomycota; Eurotiomycetes; Eurotiales; Aspergillaceae
Description: partial contains 5.8S ribosomal RNA, internal transcribed spacer 2, and large subunit ribosomal RNA
Rfam family: 5.8S ribosomal RNA (bases 1-102)
Source: RNAcentral
AUGCGAUAACUAAUGUGAAUUGCAGAAUUCAGUGAAUCAUCGAGUCUUUGAACGCACAUUGCGCCCCCUGGUAUUCCGGGGGGCAUGCCUGUCCGAGCGUCAUUGCUGCCCUCAAGCCCGGCUUGUGUGUUGGGCCCUCGUCCCCCGGCUCCCGGGGGACGGGCCCGAAAGGCAGCGGCGGCACCGCGUCCGGUCCUCGAGCGUAUGGGGCUUCGUCUUCCGCUCUGUAGGCCCGGCCGGCGCCCGCCGACGCAUUUUUUGUGCAACUUGUUUUUUUCCAGGUUGACCUCGGAUCAGGUAGGGAUACCCGCUGAACUUAA